RNAcentral lists this long non-coding RNA (865 nucleotides) under Capsicum annuum. Its description in RNAcentral is "long non-coding RNA (CANN_LNC011664)". Lineage: Eukaryota; Viridiplantae; Streptophyta; Magnoliopsida; Solanales; Solanaceae. The record is from RNAcentral.
UUAAUUGUCCUUUUUCUUACGUUGAAAAUCAUUCCAAACCUCAACCAAGAAAAAAAAUCUACCUCUCAUCUCUUUCCUCUCUGUCAGUGGUAAACGCUACUAGACUAUCAGAUAAUAAAAAAUCAGGUGGUUUUCAACCUUCUCCUUCACUUUUCUGCCCGCAUCCAUCAGUCCGGUGGUCCCUCCAUCAACUUUAUAUCAUUUCAACAAUUUUUUCUGCUUAAAUAAGAUCCCAAAUUUGUCCAUCACUGCUGCUCCUGAAAAGGUGAAGAAUGUGAAGGACCAUCGAAUUUGAGAUCGUUACCCCCUUAAUUCUAUAGGUCUUAAAGUAAAGCCUUCAAACUAUCCUUUCCCCCUUUAGAUCAAAUGUCAAAAGGAGUAAAAAUUCAUCCUUUACUUUUUAUUUCUCAUAAUUAAGAUUCUCAAGAAUUCAAAUUUUGAAUUCAAGGAGUUUUCUCCAAGAAGUCGGAGAACUCCCUCAAUUUCGACUAUAAAUGAAGCCUUUAGACUCUCACUUUUGAUAAGGAUUUGAAGCCUUCCAAGUUCUAGAGUAGAUUUGAGUUCAAGGAAGUCCUAUUCACUGCCACCCUAAAGAGAAAAAAUAGAGUCUUUGUAAAAGACUCUCACAGAUCAGACAUUUUCGCCUUGAGUUUUUGCAUUAUUGUUAGACCGAAUUCUGGAUCUCUAUCUCAUUCAGCUCUCUUGAUCUUCCUCGAGUAAAUUCGAAAAAAAACAAAGAGAGAGAGAGAGAGAUUGCAUCUACUUCUUAAUUCAAGUUGUCUCGCUCUUUUGAAAAAAAAUUCAAGUUGAAGUAAGAAAGGGAGGAGAUGAAAGAAUAACUUCCAUAUAUUUCAGCUUGUUCCAU